This 683-nucleotide ribosomal RNA is filed under the name uncultured Candidatus Saccharibacteria bacterium. RNAcentral's name for it is "bacterial SSU rRNA". It matches the Rfam family "Bacterial small subunit ribosomal RNA", at positions 571 to 1266 of the family's 1533-position model. The record is from RNAcentral. Lineage: Bacteria; Candidatus Saccharimonadota.
GUAGGCGGUUUAAUAAGUGAAUAGUGAAACCUGGUGGCUCAACCAUACAGACUAUUAUUCAAACNUGUUAAACUCGAGAAUGGUAGAGGUAACUGGAAUUUCUAGUGUAGGAGUGAAAUCCGUAGAUAUUAGAAGGAACACCGAUGGCGUAGGCAGGUUACUGGGCCAUUUCUGACGCUAAGGCACGAAAGCGUGGGGAGCGAACCGGAUUAGAUACCCGGGUAGUCCACGCCGUAAACGAUGGAUACUAGCUGUUGGAGGUAUCGACCCCUUCAGUAGCGAAGCUAACGCGUUAAGUAUCCCGCCUGUGGAGUACGGCCGCAAGGCUAAAACAUAAAGGAAUUGACGGGGACCCGCACAAGCGGUGGAUUAUGUUCUUUAAUUCGAUGAUAACCGAAGAACCUUACCAGGGCUUGACAUCCAGGGAAGGUCUGCGAAAGUAGACUGUGCCUUUUGGAACCCUGUGACAGGUGAUGCAUGGCCGUCGUCAGCUCGUGUCGUGAGAUGUUAGGUUAAGUCCUUCAACGAGCGCAACCCUUGUGAAUAGUUGUAUUUUUCUAUUCAGACUGCCCCGGUAACGGGGAGGAAGGAGGGGAUGAUGUCAGGUCAGUAUUUCCCUUACGUCCUGGGCUAGAAACGUAAUACAAUGGCUAGUACAAUGCGCAGCGAACCCCCGAGGUGAA